Molecule: ribosomal RNA, 497 nt
Filed under: uncultured bacterium
Lineage: Bacteria
Description: partial 16S ribosomal RNA
Rfam family: Bacterial small subunit ribosomal RNA
Source: RNAcentral
GAUGAACGCUGGCGGCGUGCCUAAUACAUGCAAGUCGAGCGAACGGACGAGAAGCUUGCUUCUCCGAUGUUAGCGGCGGACGGGUGAGUAACACGUGGAUAACCUACCUAUAAGACUGGGAUAACUUCGGGAAACCGGAGCUAAUACCGGAUAAUAUUUUGAACCGCAUGGUUCAAAAGUGAAAGACGGUCUUGCUGUCACUUAUAGAUGGAUCCGCGCUGCAUUAGCUAGUUGGUAAGGUAACGGCUUACCAAGGCAACGAUGCAUAGCCGACCUGAGAGGGUGAUCGGCCACACUGGAACUGAGACACGGUCCAGACUCCUACGGGAGGCAGCAGUAGGGAAUCUUCCGCAAUGGGCGAAAGCCUGACGGAGCAACGCCGCGUGAGUGAUGAAGGUCUUCGGAUCGUAAAACUCUGUUAUUAGGGAAGAACAUAUGUGUAAGUAACUGUGCACGUCUUGACGGUACCUAAUCAGAAAGCCACGGCUAACUACGUG